CAAUAGCGUAUAUUAAAGUUGUUGCAGUUAGAACGCUCGUAGUCGGAUUUCGGGGCGUUCCGACCGGUCUGCCGAUGGGUAUGCACUGGCCGGAGUGUCCUUUUUGCCGGAGACCGUGCCUACUCUUAACUGAGCGGGGGCGGGAGACGGCACUUUUACUUUGAAAAAAUCAGAGUGUUUCAAGCAGGCAGCUCGCUCUUGCAUGGAUUAGCAUGGGAUAAUGAAAUAGGACUUUGGUGCUAUUUUGUUGGUUUCGAACACCGAAGUAAUGAUGAGAAGGGACAGUCAGGGGCACUCGUAUUCCGCAGAGAGAGGUGAAAUUCUCAGACCCGCGGAAGACGAACCACUGCGAAAGCAUUUGCCAGGGAUGUUUUCACUG
This 379-nucleotide ribosomal RNA is filed under the name uncultured eukaryote. RNAcentral describes it as "partial 18S ribosomal RNA". It matches the Rfam family "Eukaryotic small subunit ribosomal RNA", at positions 592 to 975 of the family's 1831-position model. The record is from RNAcentral.